RNAcentral lists this long non-coding RNA (228 nucleotides) under Elaeis guineensis (African oil palm). RNAcentral describes it as "long non-coding RNA (EGUI_LNC001187)". Lineage: Eukaryota; Viridiplantae; Streptophyta; Magnoliopsida; Arecales; Arecaceae. The record is from RNAcentral.
UGCUGGUAAGCCCCGUCCGGACUCCUACGGGAGCCGGACUUCGCCUUUAACUUUAAUUGCAGGAAGGCUCCGCCCGGGCUCCUACGGGAGUCGGGCUUUGUCCUCGACUCCAACGGCUGCAGACAGACUUCGUCCGGACUCCUACGGGAGCCGGACUCCGCCGACAACUUCGACCUCAAGUAGACUCCGCCCGGACUCCUACGGGAGCCGGGCUCCGUCCUCAACGUC